Mytilus californianus (California mussel) is the source of this 524-nucleotide long non-coding RNA. RefSeq lists it as uncharacterized. The record is from RefSeq and is a predicted model, not a curated record. The transcript has 2 exons. Lineage: Eukaryota; Metazoa; Mollusca; Bivalvia; Mytilida; Mytilidae.
UGUAAACAGUGCGCUCUUCUGACUAGAGGCGAUCGGUAAAGAAAAACGGAUGAUGCCGUAAUUGUUUUGCUUGUUUUAAAUGAGCUAGCACAGACGAACUGAGACGUGUCAACAUAAUGUGAAUAUGAUAAUGAAUCAGCGAUGUUCUGUAUGGAAGGAAGACUGUCAUAGAAUCCAACAGUUCCGAAGGGGCCUUUAAACUAACUGCUUAACAUCAAGAUCGAUGUAAGAUUCAAGUGCCUGAUCCAGUGCAAGUUGUAGCCAGUUUUUCCUUGUAAUUGUGGCAGAAAAACCACUAGCUCUCAGCUGGGUAAUAGACAGUUUCUGGCAUUGAAAGGAUAUCAAACGGAUGUUUUAUGGAAUAAUCUCAAGUACAUAUGACGAUCAUAUGCAUAGAAAUGUGGAGCUAGUCUCUUUCAUGCAGCAAUUUGUAAUUCCCAAUUUAAACUCCGAAAAGACAAGAGCAAAGAAAUGUUCAUCAAUGAGAAACAGUCUCCGUGAAUAAAAUUAUUCCAAAACUUAAA